UACGUAGGCUGCAAGCGUUGUUCGGAGUUACUGGGCGUAAAGGGUGUGUAGGCGGUUCCUUAAGUUUGCUGUGAAAUCUCCCGGCUUAACCGGGAGGGUGCGGUGAAUACUGAGGGACUAGAGUACGGGAGAGGAAAGUGGAAUUCCUGGUGUAGCGGUGAAAUGCGUAGAUAUCAGGAGGAACACCGGUGGUGUAGACGGCUUUCUGGACCGUAACUGACGCUGAGACACGAAAGCGUGGGGAGCAAACGGG
Molecule: ribosomal RNA, 253 nt
Filed under: uncultured bacterium
Lineage: Bacteria
Description: partial 16S ribosomal RNA
Rfam family: Bacterial small subunit ribosomal RNA
Source: RNAcentral